Long non-coding RNA from Phacochoerus africanus (Common warthog), 875 nucleotides. RefSeq lists it as uncharacterized. The record is from RefSeq and is a predicted model, not a curated record. The transcript is spliced from 3 exons. NCBI's taxonomy places the organism in Eukaryota, Metazoa, Chordata, Mammalia, Artiodactyla, Suidae.
CCGCAGCCCGGCCGGGUCGGGGAGCGCCGCGGCUCGGGGCCCCGCGGGACCGUCAGUCUCCCGCCCAGGCUCAGCCCAGGCGGCGUGGACCAGUUAUUGCCACCGAGUCUGCGGACCCGCCCAGCCUGGAGGGCGCUGCGCGCGGCUCCGCGCGUGUGUGGCGCCGUCUCGCCUCCCAGCUCUGUCAGGCUCUUGCAUCCCGGUCGUCCUAGUGUCGCAUCCGGGCUGCGGGCGGAGCCUGGUAACCGGGACCUCGGCCUUGAGAGUCGCCAUCCCCUUCUUUGCGCAGGGCCCUGUCCUUUCUGGGGCUCAACCGGCCGUGCCGGAGCGGUAGACCCGGCGCUCGUCGCAGCCUCCUGGAUUAAGAGGCCGUUUUGUCCGGGCCAGCAUCGACGGCCCCUGAGGCAUGCUUCCUAGAAGAUGGGAUCUUUCUUUUCAUCCUGUUCCUGCAACGUCUGGCAGAGUCGCCUGGCACCUGGAAUGGAUAAAAGUGGCAGUUUUGUUACUUCCCAUGAGGGUGUGUAUCUGGAGUGAGAACCAUGAAAUUCAUCUAGAGUAGAACAUUUUUAAAGACACGGAAUGGCACCGGGCAGCACCAGGAGGUCUACGAGAAGCAUCUGAAGGUGCAGAGCUACAGAAGAGUGUGCGAACAGAAGGGUUUCUGGGAAACACACGAUCGGAAACACCAGCAGAGAAACCCCUUCAGCUUCUUCAAGCAGUGGGAAAAUUGUCUUCAUCAAAUUAAGUACAAUCUAUACUGAAGAGAAAUCAUAUAAAGUCUCGAAUAUAAAAAGUACGUUACUGGAGUUCCAGUUGUGGCUCAGCGGCUUAGGAACCCGACCUAGUGUCUGUGAGGAUGCAGGUUCCAUCCCUGG